UAAAACUUAAUAGAAAAUUUGAUGUAAGUUAUAACUUUUGAAAAUAAAGCAGAAUCAUGAUUAAUAAGGUUUGAUAAUUUAAAAUAUAAAUAAAACUAAGGAGUGAGAUUAUAUCCAACCAAUCAUUCACGAUAUAUCUAUCAAACAACGUAAUAGCAGACAUGAUCAUGCUUGUCUCUUGUCUAAAGCAGUAAAGGAUAUUAAACAUUAUUAUUAAACCACAUAAAAUCAAAUUUGGAAUACAUUUACAAAUAUUUUAUAUAUUUAUUUAGAUAUUCAAAUAUAAUGUCAUCUUUAGGGAUGAAAAAAGACCUAUCAGGGCAUUGUAUUUGUUUUUUGAAAAAAACUAUUGAAAAAUAUAAGAAAAAAUGAAACAAAAUGGAAAAACAUAUAUAAAUUUUUGACAACUAAUAUUUUAUUUAACAAAAUCUUGAUUACAAAAAAGCAAAAAAAAAAACAAAAAGUCAAAGAAACCUAACAAGAAGGCCCAACAACACGAGAACACUAGAGGAAAUCCAAACAACUGGACUCAAACUAUACAAUACAAAUUGAGUCUGUAGGUCUAACAAUUGAAAACCGUAGAUGAAGAAACAAUAGCACAUGAUCAGUCAUCCAUCACAUGUACGAUUGUCUAGCAAUCAAGAGACAUGUGUCAAGGCGAGGAUCCACUUCCUUUCUCCAAAGUCAGAGAAGAGCUGCGAUAGAACUCCGCUAUCAGUGAAGUCGAACCGGUGAAGCAGCCGCUCAAAUAAAAUAUCCCUCACAAAAGUUCAAGUCGAGGAGUCUACUCUGGUGGAUUGACGCUUUGGAACGGAUAUUUUAACCGUCUUCAAUCAAUCUAACACACUCCAAUUUUCAUACAUGAACGACUAAACAUCUCAAAUGAUACAGAUAGGCCUGAAGAUGAACCGGCACUAUCCAUGAGGAGGAAAGAGCAAUCAAAGGAUCAGAUCAAGAGUUAGUUAAGACAACAAAACAAAAAAGAAUAUCGAACAAAACCCGGAAAAAAAUCCCUGCAGAAAAGUUGGCAAAAUCGGAACUAUGUGAGACACCGUUUUCCGGAGUCAAAAGCCAGCGAAACUGGUGCUAUAGGAACCACCGCUUCAUAGAGACAAAAGUCUGAUGGUCAAGAUGCUAAACCACAAAAAAAAUCUAAAAUAAAUAAAACUAAUAAUGUUUUCUCUUUGAAAAAAUUGGAGAGAGAGAAGAAAGAGAGAGCGUUAUUGAUCAAUGGAGAAACAUAUUACUGAAAUACUUUCAAGAUUUUACUAGAGACCUAACACUGUUUGUCAUUGUCUCAUUCGCUGAACUUUUAUUUUAGUUUAAAAUUUAACUAUUAAUUUAAAUAAAACUGAAUCAAUAAAUAUUCUACUCAUAUGAUAAUCUAAGUGGGUCAGUUAUCA
This 1403-nucleotide long non-coding RNA is filed under the name Brassica rapa (field mustard). RNAcentral describes it as "long non-coding RNA (BRAP_LNC002741)". The record is from RNAcentral. Lineage: Eukaryota; Viridiplantae; Streptophyta; Magnoliopsida; Brassicales; Brassicaceae.